AUAGGCACUAAGAAACUCGAGAGAUCCUGUCUAAAUAGAAUACAAAAAAGGGCUGGGAAUGUGGCUCAGUGGUUAAGUGCCCCUGAUUAAAAAAAAAAAAGUCUUAAGUCAUCUAAGGUUUUAGCAUUUGAUCUUCCUAAAAUAGUCAAUUUGACUCUGUCAGGUAGUAAAAUAAAUUCAUCAAGCUAGUUAAGAUACUCUUUGUAUAUUACACUUUUUUAAUAUUUAUUUUUUGAAGUUGUAGUUGGACACAAAAACUUUAUUUUAUUUAUUUAUUUAUUUUUAUGUGGUGCUGAGGAUCGAACCCAGGGCCUUGCACAUGCGAGGCAAGCUCUCUACUGCUGAGCCAUAACCUCGACCCCUAUUAUACUUUUUUAGGACAUGGAAUACUGUUACAUGUUUUCUUUUAAGGAGGAACUCUUUCUAGUAGACUGUGAUCUUUCUCUUGAGGAGGAAUACAAGUUUAUGCUCAUUUUUAUCUCACCCAGUGACCAGGCAGUGUCUGUUACAGAUUAAAUAACCAACUGAUAAAGAAUGAAGGUGUGGUCAACAUUUACAGUGAGUAUAUUAUGUGCCAGGAAUUGUUCUAAGUAUUUCACAUCAGUGUUUCUUGAAGCCUGGUCCUAGACCAGCAGUCAGAGCAUCAUCUGAAAUUUGUCUUAAGUAUAAAUUUCCAAUCAGAAAUCCUCUUGCUCUCAUCUGUUCCCUCAUUCUUCCAGGUCAGUGUUGAAAAAUGUUAAUAAUAACUGUUGAGUGAAAAGAGGAAAUAUAUGAAUGCACUAUAAAAUCCAAUGAAGGGUUUAUUGCCUUAAGAUUUUCUUUCUGUGGUGUAUAAGAGGCCAAGGCAGGUUUGAAUAAACAAAUUAUGGUGCAUUUUCUAGAAGGGAUUCCACACACCGUAAAUCAUGAUGAACAAGAAUAGUUUCUGAUGUGCAAAUGUUUAAAAUACAGUGACAAAAGAAGAAACUGCAGCAAUAAACCCGGUAUAUUAGGACCCAGCCCAGCCCACACACUCCAGAGAUCUGGGGCAAGGUCUGAGCCCUGCACACUGCUCUGUGACCUCCCAACUCAGCCAAGUGUGGUUGUAGAGAUACAGGGGUGUGGUACUGUGUGCCCACCCUGCUGGCUGGGCUUCCAGUGGUGGCUCUCUGACUGCCUGUCCUUUAAAGCACUUAACCCUAGGUGAGGAUCACUUUCCUUCAUUUGUCUGGUUCAGAGUAGGGUCUGCAGGCCAGGAAUGAAUGGACAAAUGAGUAGAUGGUGGUGAGCAAAUGAAAUAUCUAGAAUUUGGUCACAAGGAGGAUGCUAGUGACGUUGAUCAGGCUGUGGGUGCAGCUAGCUAUAGGGCAAGGACACUGAGAAGUUCAGAGACUGGCCCCUGAGAGAGUACUCAUGGGGCUGGAGAGGACGUAGGAUACACAGUUCUUAGGGCUUAUACAAUGUGUGGUGCAGAAGAUUCGGCAGUCCUGCCUGAAGGUCAGAGGUCAGGGCUCACCAGGCUGGGUACCUAGAAGCAUGAACUUCACUGACCUGCAGUGUUAGCUUUCUAUAAUUCUAACAAACACCAGAAAUGAUCAAAUUAUAUGGAUUAAAGAUCUCUUCUACCUGUCAGGUGUGGAUAUUUUGGUCCAUGAUCAGUUGACUCCAUCACUUUGGCCCUGAAGUAUGGAAGUCGAUCAUGGUAGGCAGCACAUGGUAGAGAGGAUCUGCCCACCUCAUGGCAGGUACAGGAAAGAGGUAAAGAGAGAGAAAUGGGGACUCCAUAAUCCCCUUGAAGAGCACACCAUCUAUGACUGGAGACCUUCCACAAGCCCCAGAUCUUAAAGGUUUCACCAUCUCAACACUGCCAUAAGAUCAGACUGCAAAUCAGUGACCCUUCUGCCUGCACUCCCUGCUCAACUUCCAGCUAAAGAACUUGAGAUGGCUUUUAAAAAACUUGUAAAAAAAAGACAAAAGUUAGAAACUGUGCAAUGUGAACAAAACAGAAGGUUACAGUGUGCUGCAGUCCGGCUGCAGCAAAAUAACCGGGGGGUGGGGGGUGAGGAACAACUUGUGUAGAUUGAUACAGCAGGAGUAGGAGCCAUUUAUUGCAGGACAGGAGCAGUAUUGAUACAUUCCACACAGCGUAUCUAAUUAGCAUAAACUAGAUACAUCAGUCAAUCAAUAAGGAAUCUCCACACUUAAUGGCUCACUUUUGUUACUUCUCAAACCACUCCCUCUGGCAUUUUGCCAGGCACCAUCCAGACUUGUUUACGAACUCUAACAUUCCCCUGGCAAAAAGCCAGGUGUUAUUUUGACUUGUUUACAGACUCUAACAUUUUUUGUUUCUUUUUGUUACAAUAAUACUUCAGGAGAAUGUGCCC
RNAcentral lists this long non-coding RNA (2363 nucleotides) under Marmota monax (woodchuck). The record is from RNAcentral. Lineage: Eukaryota; Metazoa; Chordata; Mammalia; Rodentia; Sciuridae.